CCUACGGGUGGCUGCAGUAACGAAUCUUCCGCAAUGUACGAAAGUAUGACGGAGCGACGCCGCGUGUAGGACGAAGCCCUUCGGGGUGUAAACUACUGUCAAGGGUUAGAUCAACCCUAGAGGAAGGCACGGCUAACUCUGUGCCAGCAGCCGCGGUAAGACAGAGGUGCCAAGCGUUAGGCGGAAUCACUGGGCUUAAAGCGUGUGUAGGCGGAUUGGUAAGUACCUUGUGAAAUCCCACAGCUCAACUGUGGAACUGCUUGGUAUACUGCCUGUCUUGAGCUACUUAGGGGCAACCGGAAAAAAUGGUGGAGCGGUGAAAUGCGUAGAUAUCAUUUGGAACGCCAAUGGUGAAAACAGGUUGCUGGGAUAGCUGACGCUGAGACACGAAAGCCAGGGGAACGAACGGGAUUAGAUACCCUAGUAGUC
RNAcentral lists this ribosomal RNA (429 nucleotides) under uncultured bacterium. RNAcentral describes it as "partial 16S ribosomal RNA". It matches the Rfam family "Bacterial small subunit ribosomal RNA", at positions 338 to 795 of the family's 1533-position model. The record is from RNAcentral.